CUCGCAGGUGGUUCGUUGCGUCGUGCGUGAAAGACCCCGGCUCAACUGGGGAGGGUCGUGCGAUACGGGCGAACUGGAGGCCAGUAGGGGGAUGCGGAAUUCCGGGUGUAGUGGUGGAAUGCGUAGAGAUCCGGAGGAACACCAGCGGCGAAGGCGGCAUCCUGGACUGGUCCUGACACUCAGGAGCGAAAGCGUGGGGAGCGAUCC
This 207-nucleotide ribosomal RNA is filed under the name uncultured bacterium. Its description in RNAcentral is "partial 16S ribosomal RNA". It matches the Rfam family "Bacterial small subunit ribosomal RNA", at positions 568 to 774 of the family's 1533-position model. The record is from RNAcentral.